Pelobates cultripes (western spadefoot toad) is the source of this 290-nucleotide non-coding RNA. NCBI's taxonomy places the organism in Eukaryota, Metazoa, Chordata, Amphibia, Anura, Pelobatidae. The record is from the annotation of a GenBank genome assembly.
UCUCCUUCCCCACCUCUCUGCCUUGAUGGGCUUGGAGGGAUGCAGUUUCAGUGACCGCCGAUGUAUUGCUUUACUUCUGGUACACCAGUGUGACUUUCGUUGCCUCGAGUGCAUUGGGCCCAUGGUGGGGACUGCCUUAUUUAUCAGGAUGCGGUUUGGGUACCGUGUGGAAGGAAACUCUUCUGCUUCAUAUAGGGUCAUUUUACUUUCCAGCUUUUUCCAGAAUGCUUCAAAGAGAGCAUCUAGUCUUUGGAGAAUAGUGCUCUUCUCUCUUCCUAGCGAUGGUGUAC